UAAUUGAAUCAUGGAGGCAGUUAGCCCCAUGCUGCUGUUCUCAUGAUAGUGAGCGUGUUCUUACGAGAUCUGAUUGUUUUAUAAGGGGCUUUCCCCUCCUUCGCUCUGCACUUCUCCUUGCUGCUGCCAUGUGAAGAAGGAUAUGUUUGUUUCCCCUUCCGCCAUGAUUGUAAGUUUCCUGAGGCCUCCCGAGCCAUGCAGAACGAACAGACGAGGCUGCCACUCAACACCAAAACUAAGAGAAGGAUUGAAGUGAGUGGGAAUCACUAAAAGAGUCCUACUGGCCUUCUUCCUGGGACUGGGGAGCCAGCUGUCCUUUGCCCCUCCACUCCCAGCUCCCCGGUCCUGGACCUGGGAAGACUCCCCUGCUCCGGCCCUCCCUGCAUCCCUGAGAGGCCUGGAGAGCAGAGGCCUCUAGAGCUGGUCGCUGUCUUGUUUACUACCUGAAACCAGGCCUCUGAGUUUUCUGCUUGUGCAACAAGACGAUCUGCUUGAGGAAGAGAAGUCAUGGGCCACUCAUUAAGACAGCCAGUCCCAGGGGAAAGAGAAAUGGGUGAGGCCUGGGAUGUAGGAGCUCCUUCUGGCUCUGUCGCUGGCUUACUGCUAUACCUGGGACAAAGAAUGACUUCCUUAAGCCCGUUGUGCUCACCUAUAAACUGGCAACUAUGCGAUCUGACCUGCUCAUCUCAUGGAAUUGUUGCAAGACUCAAAUGAUCAAGCAAGUUUUCUAGGAAACAUCUGGAAAGAGGCAGCCCAAACUGUUCAGAAUGGCUUCUCUAGGGAAGAGGAUAUGGGAGCGAAUGGAGAGAACUGCGGUUAUUCCGCUUUUGUCUUCGAUUAAUUCUGAUCUUGUUUCCAAAUGUUUUAACAAAUACGGAUUCCUUUUGUGAUUGAAAAAGUUUGUAGGCCAGGCAUGGUGGCUCUCACACUUGUAAUCCCAGCACUUUGGGAGGCCGAGGCAGGAGGAUUGUUUGAGCCUAGGAGUUUGAGACCAGCCUGGGCAAUGUAGCAGGACCCCAUCUCUAAUUUGAAUAAUAAAAAAUAGGCCAGCACGGUGGCUAAUACCUGUAAUUCCAACACUUUGGGAGGCUGAGGUGAGAGGAUCCCUUGAGCUCAGUAGUCUGAGACCGGCCUGGGCAACAGAGUGGAACCCCAUGUCUGUAAGUAAUUUUAAAAAUUAGCUGGGCAGUCGGGCGUGGUGGCUCAGCGUGUAAUCCCAGCACUUUGGGAGGCCGAGGCGGGCAGAUCAUGAGGUCAGGAGAUCGAGACCAUCCUGGCUAACACGGUGGAACCCCCGUCUCUACUAAAAAUACAAAAAAAUUAGCUGGGCGUGGUGGCGG
This 1340-nucleotide long non-coding RNA is filed under the name Homo sapiens (human). Its description in RNAcentral is "HSALNT0245129". The record is from RNAcentral. Lineage: Eukaryota; Metazoa; Chordata; Mammalia; Primates; Hominidae.